GUAAUCAAAAGCUUAUUAAUUGUAAGCCAGCAUGAAGGAAAAAACCUAUCUUCGUUUUUCUUGAUAAAAAUUAGAACUUAAGAGAUAAUAAAAAUAAAUCUUUACCUGUAAGACGAGAAGACCCUAAAAGCUGAUUGUAAUAAAGCAAUUUUUUGGGGAAAAUUUUUAAAUACUCUUAAAAAGAAAUUAUAAAAUAACUUAAAAAUAAGCUACUUUAGGGAUAACAGGGUAAUGCGAAUAUAAAGGUCCAAUAGAAAUUAGCGCUUACCACCUCGAUGUUGGAUUCUUGAGAUCUUCUUCCGCAGAAGGAAGAAACGAAUAGACUGUUCGUCUUUUAAAUCAAG
This 344-nucleotide ribosomal RNA is filed under the name Shevtchenkella sp. NJAUAcariEriS91.1. RNAcentral's name for it is "partial 16S ribosomal RNA". The stretch from base 106 to 344 matches the Rfam family "Bacterial large subunit ribosomal RNA", at positions 2073 to 2597 of the family's 2925-position model. The record is from RNAcentral. Lineage: Eukaryota; Metazoa; Arthropoda; Arachnida; Trombidiformes; Eriophyidae.